This 253-nucleotide ribosomal RNA is filed under the name uncultured bacterium. Its description in RNAcentral is "partial 16S ribosomal RNA". It matches the Rfam family "Bacterial small subunit ribosomal RNA", at positions 524 to 776 of the family's 1533-position model. The record is from RNAcentral.
UACGGGGGGGGCUAGCGUUGUCCGGAAUUAUUGGGCGUAAAGAGCUUGUAGGCGGUCUGUCGCGUCUGCUGUGAAAAUCCGGGGCUCAACCCCGGACUUGCAGUGGGUACGGGCAGACUAGAGUGUGGUAGGGGAGACUGGAAUUCCUGGUGUAGCGGUGAAAUGCGCAGAUAUCAGGAGGAACACCGAUGGCGAAGGCAGGUCUCUGGGCCACUACUGACGCUGAGAAGCGAAAGCAUGGGGAGCGAACAGG